RNAcentral lists this ribosomal RNA (253 nucleotides) under uncultured bacterium. Its description in RNAcentral is "partial 16S ribosomal RNA". It matches the Rfam family "Bacterial small subunit ribosomal RNA", at positions 524 to 776 of the family's 1533-position model. The record is from RNAcentral.
GACAGAGGGUGCAAACGUUGCUCGGAAUUACUGGGCGUAAAGCGCGUGUAGGCGGGUCGGAAAGUCGGGCGUGAAAUCCCCAGGCUCAACCUGGGAACUGCACUCGAAACUUCCGAUCUAGAGUGGUGGAGAGGGAAGUGGAAUUCCAGGUGUAGCGGUGAAAUGCGUAGAUAUCUGGAGGAACACCGGUGGCGAAGGCGGCGUCCUGGACCAACACUGACACUGAUGAGCGAAAGCCAGGGGAGCAAACGGG